Chlorocebus sabaeus (green monkey) is the source of this 2253-nucleotide non-coding RNA. The record is from RefSeq and is a predicted model, not a curated record. Lineage: Eukaryota; Metazoa; Chordata; Mammalia; Primates; Cercopithecidae.
AAGCCUUUUCUGACCCCAUGGAGCUGUAUGAGACAUCCCCCUACUUCUACCAGGAACCCCGCUUCUAUGACGGGGAAAACUACCUGCCUGUCCACCUCCAGGGCUUUGAGCCACCAGGCUAUGAGCGGACGGAGCUCACCCUGAGCCCCGAGACCCCAGGGCCCCUCGAAGACAAGGGGCUGGGCACCCCUGAGCACUGUCCGGGCCAGUGCCUGCCGUGGGCGUGUAAGGUGUGUAAGAGGAAGUCGGUGUCCGUGGACCGGCGGCGGGCGGCCACACUGAGGGAGAAGCGCAGGCUCAAGAAGGUGAAUGAGGCCUUUGAGGCCCUGAAGAGGAGCACCCUGCUCAACCCCAACCAGCGGCUGCCCAAGGUGGAGAUCCUGCGCAGCGCCAUCCAAUACAUCGAGCGUCUCCAGACCCUGCUCAGCUCCCUCAACCAGGAGGAGCGUGACCUCCGCUACCGGGGCGGGGGUGGGCCCCAGCCAGGGGUAAGUGGCCAUCCUGUCCCCCUGCCCCAGGGGGAGGGGGCCAGAGGGAGGCACCUGGACAACCUCAAGACCCCAAGAGGGGCUCAGAGGGUUGGAGCAGGUGCCAGACAGGGUCGAGGGGCUUCAGGAGCCCUUCCCUGGUCAGAGCUGGGCUAUCCAGCUGACCUCCUGUGUCCUGUGUUCUUUCCAGAUGAGAUAGAGGCAGUGGGGAGGAAGUGCAGAAGGGGUGGGGGUGGGGAACACAGGACUGAAGAAAGGAUCAGGAGCAAGGCCACAGUCAGCCCGGGUAAGGGUGAGGAUUAAUCACAGAGCCUGAGUCAGAGCCUAAAAGGCCAGGCCAAGUUCACCAGAGAAGGCUGCUUUGCCCCCUGCCCCACCCCCAUCCUGGGUGUGGCUGAGCAGAGAGAAAACCCACUCAGUCUCAUUGGAACUCCAGCAGGCCUGCACAGAGUGACCUUCACUGGGCCAGAAAAUCUGUCUCCAUCACCCUUAUCACCAGAGUCAGGAGAACCAGGGACCUUUAACCUGGGGUCCUGUGAGGGCAGAACCACCACUCAGGAUGGAAGCCAAGAAGGCCUGGAAGCAGGGCCUCUAGGACAUGAGAGGAGCUGGUUACUAAGAUUCUGGGGUUGGGGAUGGCCUGGGCUGGAAGGCCACAGCCUGUGGCCCACCCUCCAACCCCACCACAGGUGCUUCUGCCCACUGGGACUAGGCAGAGAGACACAUCAAAGAAUGGCUGUGCCCCGACCUUGGGCCUUCGCCCUGUCUUGCAGGUGCCCAGCGAAUGCAGCUCUCACAGCGCCUCCUGCAGUCCAGAGUGGGGCAGCGCACUGGAGUUCGGCGCCAACCCUGGGGAUCAUCUGCUCACGGCUGACCCUACAGAUGCCCACAACCUGCACUCCCUCACCUCCAUCGUGGACAGCAUCACAGUGGAAGAUGUGUCUGUGGCCUUCCCAGAUGAAACCAUGCCCAACUGAGAUUGUCUGCCAAGCCAGGCAUCCUUGCAAGCCCCCCAAGCUGACCACAGAUGCCACUGCUUCUGUAGCAGGGGCCUCCUAAGCCAGGCUGCCCUGAUGCUAGGAAGCCAGCUCUGGGGUGCCAUAGGCCAGACUAUCCCCUUCCUCAUCCAUGUAAGGUUAACCCACCCCCCAGCAAGGUACUGGAUGCCCUCAUUCAGCUGCCUCCUUAGAGGACAGGGCAUCCCCUUUCCAGGAAGGUAAAGCAGGGGACCAGAGCGCCCCCUCGUGUAUGCCCCAGUUCAGGGGGCAAACUCAGGAGUUUCCUUUUUAUCAUAACAUGGCCUCUAAUUCCACCCCCUAAGUGAAACGGUUUGAGUGACACAGACAGUGUCCUGACCUGGACAAGCUGUGCACGUCUCCUGUUCUGGUCUCUUCACGAUGCCAGUGGCUGGGCUGGGCCUGCCCUGAAUUGAGAGAAAAGAAGGGGAGAGAAACAAUCCUCUGUUCCCAAGUCCCUGGGGGGCCAAACUUUUGCAGUGAAUAUUGGGAACCUUCCAGUGGUUUUAUGUUUUGUUUUGUUUUGUGUGUUGUUUGUAAAGCUGCCAUCUGACCAAGGUCUCCUGUGCUGAAGUUGCCGGGGACAGGCAGGGAAAGGGGGUUGGGGGCUCUUGGGGGUGAUUUCUUUUGUUAACUAAGCAUUGUGUGGUUUUGCCAUUGUUUUGUAUUUUUUUUUUUUUUUUUUUUUUUUUUUGCUAACUUAUUUGGAUUUCCUUUUUUAAAAAAUGAAUAAAGACUGGUUGCCAGAA